GGAAUCUUGAUGAGAAGAUAUCAACUUUAACUCUUGAUAACUGCACCACAAAUGAUAAGGUGAUAAUGAAGAAGCAACAAGUUUUUGGACUUGCCUUCAAGAGAUCCAAGAUGGAAUUGAGGGACUUGCUCUUGUUUGAAGAAAUGAAUGCACGGACAUGGCUCGGAUCUUGCUCAUUUCCUUCCAAACAAUCUCAUUUAGUCUUUACUGUCUAAUCUAAUGUCUAUUUUUAUGAGUUGUAACCCCUAUUAUAUGCCAUGAUAAAUUGUAAACUGUGCCAUACUGGAAUGCUUUUGGAUAUUUGGCGGUUGGCAUGAAAGAACUACUGCAAAACUAUGUUUUUAUGUAUGCACUAUGCCUGGACAACAUGUCUUGUUGAUGAGUGACCAUGCAA
Oryza brachyantha (malo sina) is the source of this 394-nucleotide long non-coding RNA. RefSeq lists it as uncharacterized. Lineage: Eukaryota; Viridiplantae; Streptophyta; Magnoliopsida; Poales; Poaceae. The record is from RefSeq and is a predicted model, not a curated record. The transcript is spliced from 3 exons.